This 479-nucleotide ribosomal RNA is filed under the name uncultured bacterium. RNAcentral describes it as "bacterial SSU rRNA". It matches the Rfam family "Bacterial small subunit ribosomal RNA", at positions 501 to 978 of the family's 1533-position model. The record is from RNAcentral.
CUACGUGCCAGCAGCCGCGGUAAUACGUAGGGCGCGAGCGUUGUCCGGAAUUAUUGGGCGUAAAGAGCUUGUAGGCGGUUUGUCGCGUCUGCUGUGAAAGGCCGGGGCUUAACUCCGUGUAUUGCAGUGGGUACGGGCAGACUAGAGUGCAGUAGGGGAGACUGGAAUUCCUGGUGUAGCGGUGGAAUGCGCAGAUAUCAGGAGGAACACCGAUGGCGAAGGCAGGUCUCUGGGCUGUAACUGACGCUGAGAAGCGAAAGCAUGGGGAGCGAACAGGAUUAGAUACCCUGGUAGUCCACGCCCUAAACGAUGUCGAUUAGCUGUUGGGCAGCUUGACUGCUUAGUAGCGUAGCUAACGCGUGAAAUCGACCGCCUGGGGAGUACGGUCGCAAGAUUAAAACUCAAAGGAAUUGACGGGGACCCGCACAAGCGGUGGAUGAUGUGGAUUAAUUCGAUGCAACGCGAAGAACCUUACCUGG